This 253-nucleotide unclassified non-coding RNA is filed under the name Dactylonectria anthuriicola. Its description in RNAcentral is "partial contains 5.8S ribosomal RNA, internal transcribed spacer 2, and large subunit ribosomal RNA". The record is from RNAcentral. Lineage: Eukaryota; Fungi; Ascomycota; Sordariomycetes; Hypocreales; Nectriaceae.
CGCAACUUGCGCCCUCUGGUAUUCUGGCGGGCAUGCCUGUUCGAGCGUCAUUACAUCCCUCAAGCCCCCGGGCUUGGUGUUGGAGAUCGGCGAGCCCCCGCGCCCGCCGUCCCCUAAAUUUAGUGGCGGUCACGCUGUAACUUCCUCUGCGUAGUAGCACACUUAGCACUGGGAAACAGCGCGGCCACGCCGUAAAACCCCCAACUUUUAUACGUUUGACCUCGAAUCAGGUAGGACUACCCGCUGAACUUAA